RNAcentral lists this ribosomal RNA (253 nucleotides) under uncultured bacterium. RNAcentral's name for it is "partial 16S ribosomal RNA". It matches the Rfam family "Bacterial small subunit ribosomal RNA", at positions 524 to 776 of the family's 1533-position model. The record is from RNAcentral.
UACGUAGGGGGCAAGCGUUGUCCGGCUUUAUUGGGCGUAAAGCGCGUGUAGGCGGCCGCACAGGUCCGUUGUGAAAACUGGAGGCUUAACCUUCAGACGUCGAUGGAAACCGUGCGGCUAGAGUCCGGAAGAGGAGAAUGGAAUUCCUGGUGUAGCGGUGAAAUGCGCAGAUAUCAGGAAGAACACCCGUGGCUAAGGCGGUUCUCUAGUACGGUACUGACGCUGAGACGCGAAAGCGUGGGGAGCGAACAGG